AACCGCCGUAUGCGGACCUGCAUGUACGGUGGUGUGAGAGAUCGGGGGCUAGCCGCCCCCUCCUACUCGAU
This 71-nucleotide non-coding RNA is filed under the name Thermobacillus composti KWC4. The record is from RNAcentral. Lineage: Bacteria; Bacillati; Bacillota; Bacilli; Caryophanales; Paenibacillaceae.